GGAAGUAAAAGUCGUAACAAGGUUUCCGUAGGUGAACCUGCGGAAGGAUCAUUAACGAGUUUUUGAAACGGGUUGUUGCUGGCUUCAUAAGAGGAGCACAUGUGCACGCCUGACUCAAUCCACUCUCAAACCCCUGUGCACUUAUUGUAGGCUUGGUGAUUGAAGAACUCGCAAGGGUUCUGAUAAAGCCGGGUCUAUGUUUUUAUAAACGCUUCAGUUUAAGAAUGUUACUCGCGUAUAACGCAAUAAAUACAACUUUCAGCAACGGAUCUCUUGGCUCUCGCAUCGAUGAAGAACGCAGCGAAAUGCGAUAAGUAAUGUGAAUUGCAGAAUUCAGUGAAUCAUCGAAUCUUUGAACGCACCUUGCGCUCCUUGGUAUUCCGAGGAGCAUGCCUGUUUGAGUGUCAUGGUAUUCUCAACUCUACAAAGCUUUUGCAAUGAGGAGUUGGAUUUGGAGGCUUGUGUGGGCUCGCAAGAGUCGACUCCUCUGAAAUGCAUUAGUGUGAACCUUUACGGAUCGCCUCCAGUGUGAUAAUGUCUACGCUGUGGUGUUGAAGUAUUUCUAGUGUUCAUGCUUCUAAUCGUCUCUUUGAGACAAUUACUUGACAAUCUGACCUCAAAUCAGGUAGGACUACCCGCUGAACUUAAGCAUAUCAAUAAGCGGAGGA
This 668-nucleotide ribosomal RNA is filed under the name Corticiaceae sp. JCM 28418. RNAcentral's name for it is "eukaryotic LSU rRNA". The stretch from base 254 to 407 matches the Rfam family "5.8S ribosomal RNA". The record is from RNAcentral. Lineage: Eukaryota; Fungi; Basidiomycota; Agaricomycetes; Corticiales; Corticiaceae.